GGGCGUAAGCCCACGGGGCAGCAGUAAAGAAUUUUGUGCAAUAUCCGAAAGGAAGACACAGGGAGGAGACAUUUAUUUGAUCCGUCAAAUUAAGUGCCAGCAGACGCGGUGAAACUUAGGGGUUGGUCUUAUAGGAAAGGCGUAAGGAGUGUGAGCGGGGUUUUUGUUGUUGAAGAGGGUAAAUGGAAUUUCUCUGUAAUGGUGACAUGUAUUAAUAGAAAAAAGAAUUUUAGAUGUGAAGGAAAUUUAUCUCUCGGGAGCGGGCUGGGGGCUUUCGCCUAGCCCGCCCCCCCCCCUUAAUAAGGCUGUUAUACGAGGGGGUCUGGCGGAAAUACGAAGGUAUGGGGAGCAAACAGGAUUAGAGAUCCUGGUAGUCCAUACUGUAAAUAAUGAAGAAGAUGUGAUGCAACCCUAAAAGGUAAUAAAUUUUUCGCUUGAGUAGUACGAUCGCAAGAUUAAAAUUCAAAAAGCUUGGCUGUUCACUGUUUUAAUUAGAGGAGCGUGUUGUUUAAUUCGAUAGUCCGCGAGAUACCUCACCCAAACUUGAAUUCGCCCCUUGACAGGUAUUGCAUGGCCGUCGUCAGUUUGUGUGUAAAACAUAAAACCGAUUUAACCCUGUGGAUUCGUUUAUUGGAUGAAGUCAGGUCUUAUUGUCCUAAUGUUUGGGGAUUAGAUGCGCUACAUUUUUUUAUACAAUGGGAGACUUUAAAGGUGAAACCCUAAAGUGAGAGUUCGGAGGGCGUCUGGAAGACAACUGAAAGUUGUAUUUAAUAGUAAUUGGAAAGUAGAGCGUUCUGGUGAAAUUGGUCCAGUGUUAGUACAAAUUGCCCGUCGCCUUUGCUUAGAAUGGUGGUUUGAAUGCCUCUUAUUGUAAGGGCUACGA
This 883-nucleotide ribosomal RNA is filed under the name Corallimorphus profundus. RNAcentral's name for it is "partial 12S small subunit ribosomal RNA". It matches the Rfam family "Bacterial small subunit ribosomal RNA", at positions 329 to 1450 of the family's 1533-position model. The record is from RNAcentral. Lineage: Eukaryota; Metazoa; Cnidaria; Anthozoa; Corallimorpharia; Corallimorphidae.